CUUGUAGUUUAGUGCUCAGAGCAUUGGUACGUAAAUCCAAACGUCCCGGGUUCGAUUCCCGGCGAG
RNAcentral lists this transfer RNA (66 nucleotides) under Agrilus planipennis (emerald ash borer). It matches the Rfam family "tRNA". Rfam says of the family: Transfer RNA (tRNA) molecules are approximately 80 nucleotides in length. Their secondary structure includes four short double-helical elements and three loops (D, anti-codon, and T loops). Lineage: Eukaryota; Metazoa; Arthropoda; Insecta; Coleoptera; Buprestidae. The record is from Rfam by way of RNAcentral.